Long non-coding RNA from Papio anubis (olive baboon), 1626 nucleotides. NCBI's taxonomy places the organism in Eukaryota, Metazoa, Chordata, Mammalia, Primates, Cercopithecidae. The record is from Ensembl.
GACACAGAGAGAAGGUGGCCGUCUGCAAGUCUCGGAGAGAGACCUCAGCAGAAACCAACUCUGCUGACAUUUAAUCAGGAGAUAUUCCCUGACUCCAGAACUAUGAGAAAAUAAGUUUGUGUUGUUUAUACCACCUGGUUGUUAAUAUUUUGUUACAGCAGAUCAUGUUGACUAGUAGAAGCUCUGGUGGUUUCUUUUGACCAUUAGAGUUCCAUGUGCUAGACAACAUACCACCCUGUCCCCAGCCAGUCCAUGGCCACCUUCUGUCUGUUUCUUCUCUGGGGACUUCCCUCUGUUCAUGUCUAUGCUCUAAUUUCCUGUUCCUAUAAGGACAGCAAUCAGAUUGGAUUGGUGCCCAGUCUAACAAUUGGUGCUAUGUCCUGAAGCUUCUUCUGGGUACGGCCUCUUUUCUCCUCUCUGGGUCAACACAUUCUAUGUCAGGUUGUUUUAUGAUUGACCCUCUUUAUUCUCCAACAGACAUGAAGGGAGGUGGGGCAGAUCUUGAGGGAGCACACAUUGUCUCCACAUUGUCUCCGAACAUCUGAGGGGUGAAGCUCAAGAUUUUAGUUGGUGGAGGUGGGGACAUUUUGCAGGCUCAAAAAGUCAAGGGAGAUUUGGAGGUCCAAGUCCUUGGGGACGUCCCGAGCAUCAGCCCAGAUGUCUGCAUCCCAUGUCUUCAGAUCUCAUUCCUUCCCAUCCGGGGUCCUGACUUUGCUGUAGAACAUUGCCACAGUCCUUAUACCAACUCUAUCCAGAGUUUCACGACCCUUAUAAUUAUGUCCUAGGUCUGAUCCUUCCAAAGGUGGGAGACAGGAAUUCUGUUUCUGUGUUACCAGAGCUGUCCAAACGACCGUCACUUCUUCCUUAAUGUGGGACAGGAGCCUUAAUGCAAGCAAAUUUACUCAUGAGUGCUGUCAUGGGCUCCACAAAACCUGCCCUGAGAGAGAGAAUCUAUUACGUCUCUUUCCACAAGUUUACUGUUUGGUAUUCCUAAUUCUUGUUGCGUACUUUCAUCCAACCUCUGAGUACUUUACACAGUUUUCAUUUUUGUCAUUGAAACUUGGAGAUCUGACAACAUUUUAGUGUUUUCUCACUGGGAGCUUAGGAGAGUCUGGUCAGUAGAAAUCUAAUAUUAGGAGGUUUUUAUGAUAUAACUGAGCUUGGGAAGAAUGAGAGGCGGUAGAAAGUCGGUACAGGUGACUACACCUGGGAGAUGGGAAAAUGGCAGUUAACAAACCCUUAUCAUUCUUGACCCAUUGUUAAUUUGAAUGUCUAUGCUUUUUCUCCCCUUUUUUCUUUUCCUGAAAGUGAUAUGUCUCACAGUCACUUGGCUAAAAUCUACUUCGCUGUCUCCCUACCCACCUACAAAAGGCUUAAGAGGGACAUGCCUACGGUUUUCCAUAUUGAUGUAAUGAGCUGAUCACAAAGAGAUUAGGGCCAUAUUUGACUAUAUAUUGCAAAAUAAACUGCAAGAAAAAUUUCAGUUGCUUGAACUGAUGUCAAGCAGUGAAAUUAGUCAAGUCACAGCAGCGUGGUUAGCCAAACCACAACAAGGUUGUUCCCCAGGGCUAGAAGUUGGUUACAUUCAACCCUCAUAAACACAAUAAACAUAUUUCUAGAUUUAUU